AGUGAACGCUGGCGGUAGGCCUAACACAUGCAAGUCGAACGGCAGCACAGUAAGAGCUUGCUCUUACGGGUGGCGAGUGGCGGACGGGUGAGGAAUACAUCGGAAUCUACUUUUUCGUGGGGGAUAACGUAGGGAAACUUACGCUAAUACCGCAUACGACCUACGGGUGAAAGCAGGGGAUCUUCGUACCUUGCGCGAUUGAAUGAGCCGAUGUCGGAUUAGCUAGUUGGCGGGGUAAAGGCCCACCAAGGCGACGAUCCGUAGCUGGUCUGAGAGGAUGAUCAGCCACACUGGAACUGAGACACGGUCCAGACUCCUACGGGAGGCAGCAGUGGGGAAUAUUGGACAAUUGGCGCAAGCCUGAUCCAGCCAUACCGCGUGGGUGAAGAAGGCCUUCGGGUUGUAAAGCCCUUUUGUUGGGAAAGAAAAGCAGCAGGUUAAUACCCCGCUGUUCUGACGGUACCCAAAGAAUAAGCACCGGCUAACUUCGUG
RNAcentral lists this ribosomal RNA (492 nucleotides) under uncultured bacterium. RNAcentral's name for it is "partial 16S ribosomal RNA". It matches the Rfam family "Bacterial small subunit ribosomal RNA", at positions 29 to 507 of the family's 1533-position model. The record is from RNAcentral.